AGAGUUUGAUCCUGGCUCAGGACGAACGCUGACGGUGUGCUUUAGACAUGCAAGUCGAACGAGAAAGCCCUUCGGGGUGAGUAAAGUGGCGAACGGGUGAGUAACACGUGGGUAACCUGCCCCUCGCAGAGGGAUAACCGGGGGAAACCCCGGCUAAUACCUCGUACGUUUGUCGGGUCGCAUGGCUCGACUAGGAAAGGUAGCUUCGGCCAUCCGGCGAGGGAUGGGCCCGCGGUCCAUUAGCUAGUUGGUGGGGUAACGGCCCACCAAGGCGACGAUGGAUAGCUGGUCUGAGAGGAUGAUCAGCCACACUGGGACUGAGACUCGGCCCAGACUCCUACGGGAGGCAGCAGUCGGGAAUCUUGCGCAAUGGGCGAAAGCCUGACGCAGCAACACCGUGUGAGCGACGAAGGCCUUCGGGUCGUAAAGCUCUGUUGUUGGGGACGAAGGGUUAGGGGUUAAUAGCCCCGAGCCUGACGGUACCCUUCGAGGAAGCCCCGGCUAACUACGUGCCAGCAGCGGCGGUAAUUC
Molecule: ribosomal RNA, 531 nt
Filed under: uncultured bacterium
Lineage: Bacteria
Description: bacterial SSU rRNA
Rfam family: Bacterial small subunit ribosomal RNA
Source: RNAcentral